This is a non-coding RNA of Apaloderma vittatum (bar-tailed trogon), 83 nucleotides long. The record is from Rfam. NCBI's taxonomy places the organism in Eukaryota, Metazoa, Chordata, Aves, Trogoniformes, Trogonidae.
GGUCAGUUAGCUCAGUGGUUUGAGCGCAGUGCUGGCAACAAGGAUCAACACUGAGAUCACGGGUUCGAUUCCUGCUCGGUCCC